Molecule: unclassified non-coding RNA, 239 nt
Filed under: Hevea brasiliensis (rubber tree)
Lineage: Eukaryota; Viridiplantae; Streptophyta; Magnoliopsida; Malpighiales; Euphorbiaceae
Source: RNAcentral
UUUAGCGAAAACCCAGAGCUUUGCUGAAGGAUUUCAGCGCGUACAGUCAAUUUGAUCCCAUAUUUCUUCAUCGUCUGGAGCAUCGAAGCUCAGAAACGUCGAGUGCGUGGAUGGCAACGGAGAGUACAAAGAUAAAACUCUAAGGAUCAUACUGUUUUGUCUUAUUCCUCAACGUUCAUCCCUGUUCGUACGAUGGCAGACAUGCGUUUUCAUCCUUUGAGACUCGACAUUCAGCCACG